This 433-nucleotide ribosomal RNA is filed under the name uncultured bacterium. RNAcentral's name for it is "partial 16S ribosomal RNA". It matches the Rfam family "Bacterial small subunit ribosomal RNA", at positions 29 to 507 of the family's 1533-position model. The record is from RNAcentral.
AGCGAACGCUGGCGGCAGGCCUAACACAUGCAAGUCGAACGAACUCUUCGGAGUUAGUGGCGGACGGGUGAGUAACACGUGGGAACGUGCCUUUUGGCUCGGAAUAACUCAGGGAAACUUGUGCUAAUACCGGAUGUGCCCUUCGGGGGAAAGAUUUAUCGCCAUUAGAGCGGCCCGCGUCUGAUUAGCUAGUUGGUGAGGUAACGGCUCACCAAGGCGACGAUCAGUAGCUGGUCUGAGAGGAUGACCAGCCACACUGGGACUGAGACACGGCCCAGACUCCUACGGGAGGCAGCAGUGGGGAAUCUUGCGCAAUGGGCGAAAGCCUGACGCAGCCAUGCCGCGUGAAUGAUGAAGGUCUUAGGAUUGUAAAAUUCUUUCACCGGGGACGAUAAUGACGGUACCCGGAGAAGAAGCCCCGGCUAACUUCGUG